GGACCAAGGAGUCUAACAUCUAUGCGAGUGUUUGGGUGUCAAACCCAUACGCGUAAUGAAAGUGAACGGAGGUGAGAACCCUUAAGGGUGCAUCAUCGACCGAUCCUGAUGUCUUCGGAAGGAUUUGAGUAAGAGCAUAGCUGUUGGGACCCGAAAGAUGGUGAACUAUGCCUGAAUAGGGUGAAGCCAGAGGAAACUCUGGUGGAGGCUCGCAGCGGUUCUGACGUGCAAAUCGAUCGUCAAAUUUGGGUAUAGGGGCGAAAGACUAAUCGAACCAUCUAGUAGCUGGUUCCUG
RNAcentral lists this ribosomal RNA (295 nucleotides) under uncultured fungus. Its description in RNAcentral is "partial 28S ribosomal RNA". It matches the Rfam family "Eukaryotic large subunit ribosomal RNA", at positions 663 to 960 of the family's 3401-position model. The record is from RNAcentral. Lineage: Eukaryota; Fungi.